Molecule: ribosomal RNA, 404 nt
Filed under: uncultured Rhodoplanes sp.
Lineage: Bacteria; Pseudomonadati; Pseudomonadota; Alphaproteobacteria; Hyphomicrobiales; Nitrobacteraceae
Description: bacterial SSU rRNA
Rfam family: Bacterial small subunit ribosomal RNA
Source: RNAcentral
UGGGGAAUAUUGGACAAUGGGCGCAAGCCUGAUCCAGCCAUGCCGCGUGGAUGAUGAAGGCCUUAGGGUUGUAAAGUCCUUUUAACGGGGAAGAUAAUGACGGUACCCGUAGAAUAAGCCCCGGCUAACUUCGUGCCAGCAGCCGCGGUAAUACGAAGGGGGCUAGCGUUGCUCGGAAUCACUGGGCGUAAAGCGCACGUAGGCGGCUUUCUAAGUCAGGGGUGAAAUCCUGGAGCUCAACUCCAGAACUGCCUUUGAUACUGGAGAGCUUGAGUCCGGGAGAGGUGAGUGGAACUGCGAGUGUAGAGGUGAAAUUCGUAGAUAUUCGCAAGAACACCAGUGGCGAAGGCGGCUCACUGGCCCGGUACUGACGCUGAGGUGCGAAAGCGUGGGGAGCAAACAGG